Long non-coding RNA from Phyllopteryx taeniolatus (common seadragon), 325 nucleotides. RefSeq lists it as uncharacterized. The record is from RefSeq and is a predicted model, not a curated record. The transcript has 3 exons. NCBI's taxonomy places the organism in Eukaryota, Metazoa, Chordata, Actinopteri, Syngnathiformes, Syngnathidae.
GAAGUGUGGACAGAUCCUUGCAACAUGGGGCCAUGUAUUAUCAUGUUGGAAUAUGAGGUGAUGGUCGUGGAUCAAUGGCACAACUGAUCAACUCGACAGCAUACAGGAAAUGGCUUAUUUCUCCUGAGCAGACGUGCCUGAACGAGGAAGCGGCUAACCACAUGAAACUAACGCGAUCCAGCGUGUUUACUUGCCAACAUUUGCACAGUUACCUGGUGAAGGAGAAAAUCCCUGUGAGGUGGUCUUCUCACAAUGUGGACUGCAGAGAAGGCAGCCUGUAAUAGAGGAAACAGUGAAUUAAUAAAAUAAGCCCCCCGAAUGGAAG